GGGGGGUUGUGAAAGGUUUGCGAAUGCGGAUGAAUUAAAUCAAAAGACGGAGGCAAACAGAAAUGUAAAAAUGGAAUCAAACAAAGAAUUAAAGCGGUUGGUCAUUAACUCAAUUACUAUGCUUCCUAUCCCAGAUCAACUACAAGUACACACUACUCUAAUCCAAAUCCGACACGAAUCACCCAACUAAGCGAAGGCUAAUUCGGUCUUCAAAAUUACAGACUAAGCGAAUGCAAUGCACCAAUUUAAUCAGUCAUCCACCAUACAGUCUCAUCAACUAAGCGAAGAAUUGACACCAAUUAGGCAACUAAGCAUAUACUUAAUCGCAGGCAGACAACAGAUUAAAUAUUGAACCGAAUCAAAGCAGCAAUAUGACAAUUAAAGUUCAAAAAUCUCAAGGAAGCAAAGUAACUUUAUUAACAACCAACCCGACUAAUUUAAGCUAACAUGACAGUUAAAUUAAUACAAUCAAACAGAACAGACAACAUAGUAAACGGAAAUAUUAAAC
Molecule: long non-coding RNA, 508 nt
Filed under: Vigna radiata
Lineage: Eukaryota; Viridiplantae; Streptophyta; Magnoliopsida; Fabales; Fabaceae
Description: long non-coding RNA (VRAD_LNC012276)
Source: RNAcentral